This 815-nucleotide long non-coding RNA is filed under the name Vigna radiata. RNAcentral describes it as "long non-coding RNA (VRAD_LNC002600)". The record is from RNAcentral. Lineage: Eukaryota; Viridiplantae; Streptophyta; Magnoliopsida; Fabales; Fabaceae.
GCUGUUGUGUGCAGAGGUAAUAUUGGGCUGUGAUGUAUUUGAGGUUAACUAAGCCCGUUCUGCGUUGGGCUAUAUUGAGAAAUGCUGAUUUGAAGUGGACACGCUGCUGCCACACUUGGGGUACUGCUGAUUGGAUUUAAAAUAAAAUGCUUGAGGCUGAAAUGCAAUGAGCGUUGCUAUUGCAUCAAACAAGUUGGGCUGUCAAGGUUUGGGUUGCAAUUUAGUGGGACGUUGCCGUUUUGAUGUCUGAAGCUGAGUUUGGGUCCAAUUUAGUGGAACGACGUCGUCUGGUGUAUCAUUUCUUCCUUGGGGGUCCUUGUUCCAGCAAACAUUCGAGACAAAAGUUGCCCGAGACAUCCAUUCUGAGAAAAAAAUCACCCGAGCUAGGGCUUGGAGAAAAAGCGAGAAGAAGAGCGGUUGGUGCCACUGACUUGAAGCUGACCAGAGGUUCUGAGGAGCUGACCGAAGUUCAAGUUGAUCGGAGGGCUUGAAAAAGAGAUCAAACAGGCGAGGAUUGGUGACCAUCCGAUGCAGAGAGCUAAACGUUCAAGCUACGAAGGUUUCUCAUUUUCCAGAUUUUUUUCUUUGUUUCGUUUUCUGACCCUAUAAAAGGGGCCUUUCUAAAUAGAAAUAGGGGGGCUUUUCAAAUAAACUUACACAGAGUCAUUUUCCAUAUUUUUUCGUUUUUAGAGAGCGACGUGAGAGUUCUAGGGUUUUAUCGCAUAUCCGGCAGAUUCGAUUUCUCGUGUUGUUGCUCAUUUCUUUUUGGUAUAUUCUUGUAAUCUUGUUCUUGUUAAUAAUUUUUUGUGAUGUUU